Molecule: long non-coding RNA, 501 nt
Organism: Suricata suricatta (meerkat)
Lineage: Eukaryota; Metazoa; Chordata; Mammalia; Carnivora; Herpestidae
Exons: 4
Source: RefSeq, a predicted model, not a curated record
AACAUGGUCCAGUGGUUUGGCAGCUGCUGAUAUGUCACUGGGCCUGUCUUUCAUUGGCUUCUGAGCUCUGCCUGAAUGACCCAUCAGGUAACAGGUCACUGGUUUUCAUCCUGGGCAUGCCUGAGGCAGUCAGGCACUGACACUGUUUGUCAUAUGAGUUUCUGUUGAGGUUUGAGGCCAAAGCCUAUCCCUGAUGCAAAGUCUGCAUUGGGUGCUGCCCUUCAGAAGACCGUGAUUUCCAGCCGGGGCCCUGGAACCAGAUCACAUGAUAUGAAUUCCAGGCUCUCAUAACUCCCUACAAGUGUGAUCCUGAAUACAUAUCCUUACUCUCUGAGCCCUUGUUUCUUCAUCUGUAGAUAGACAACUUCAGAAAAAGUGGGUACCUCAUCCAAGGUGACAUGAAGAAGCUACAGAGACAGAGUCAAGAGAUAAGGCCCAGAUGUCCGGCCUCCAGAUCUACAAGAGGAUACAUUUCUGUGCUUUCAGCCACCAGGUUCAUGG